AGUGAACGCUGGCGGUAGACCUAACACAUGCAAGUCGAACGGCAGCACAGUAAGAGCUUGCUCUUACGGGUGGCGAGUGGCGGACGGGUGAGGAAUACAUCGGAAUCUACUUUUUCGUGGGGGAUAACGUAGGGAAACUUACGCUAAUACCGCAUACGACCUACGGGUGAAAGCAGGGGAUCUUCGGACCUUGCGCGAUUGAAUGAGCCGAUGUCGGAUUAGCUAGUUGGCGGGGUAAAGGCCCACCAAGGCGACGAUCCGUAGCUGGUCUGAGAGGAUGAUCAGCCACACUGGAACUGAGACACGGUCCAGACUCCUACGGGAGGCAGCAGUGGGGAAUAUUAGACAAUGGGCGCAAGCCUGAUCCAGCCAUACCGCGUGGGUGAAGAAGGCCUUCGGGUUGUAAAGCCCUUUUGUUGGGAAAGAAAAGCAGCAGGUUAAUACCCCGCUGUUCUGACGGUACCCAAAGAAUAAGCACCGGCUAACUUCGUG
Molecule: ribosomal RNA, 492 nt
Filed under: uncultured bacterium
Lineage: Bacteria
Description: partial 16S ribosomal RNA
Rfam family: Bacterial small subunit ribosomal RNA
Source: RNAcentral